RNAcentral lists this ribosomal RNA (254 nucleotides) under uncultured bacterium. RNAcentral's name for it is "partial 16S ribosomal RNA". It matches the Rfam family "Bacterial small subunit ribosomal RNA", at positions 524 to 776 of the family's 1533-position model. The record is from RNAcentral.
UACGUAGGCCGCGAGCGUUGUUCGGAGUUACUGGGCGUAAAGGGUGUGUAGGCGGUUGUUUAAGUUUGGUGUGAAAUCUCCCGGCUCAACUGGGAGGGUGCGCCGAAUACUGAAUGACUUCGAGUGCGGGAGAGGAGAGUGGAAUUCCUGGUGUAGCGGUGAAAUGCGUAGAUAUCAGGAGGAACACCGGUGGUGUAGACGGCUCUCUGGACCGUAACUGACGCUGAGACACGAAAGCGUGGGUAGCAAACAGG